Molecule: ribosomal RNA, 1544 nt
Filed under: Acinetobacter pittii
Lineage: Bacteria; Pseudomonadati; Pseudomonadota; Gammaproteobacteria; Moraxellales; Moraxellaceae
Description: bacterial SSU rRNA
Rfam family: Bacterial small subunit ribosomal RNA
Source: RNAcentral
UUUAACUGAAGAGUUUGAUCAUGAGCUCAGAUUGAACGCUGGCGGCAGGCUUAACACAUGCAAGUCGAGCGGAGAGAGGUAGCUUGCUACUGAUCUUAGCGGCGGACGGGUGAGUAAUGCUUAGGAAUCUGCCUAUUAGUGGGGGACAACAUUUCGAAAGGAAUGCUAAUACCGCAUACGUCCUACGGGGAGAAAGCAGGGGAUCUUCGGACCUUGCGCUAAUAGAUGAGCCUAAGUCGGAUUAGCUAGUUGGUGGGGUAAAGGCCUACCAAGGCGACGAUCUGUAGCGGGUCUGAGAGGAUGAUCCGCCACACUGGGACUGAGACACGGCCCAGACUCCUACGGGAGGCAGCAGUGGGGAAUAUUGGACAAUGGGCGCAAGCCUGAUCCAGCCAUGCCGCGUGUGUGAAGAAGGCCUUAUGGUUGUAAAGCACUUUAAGCGAGGAGGAGGCUACUUUAGUUAAUACCUAGAGAUAGUGGACGUUACUCGCAGAAUAAGCACCGGCUAACUCUGUGCCAGCAGCCGCGGUAAUACAGAGGGUGCAAGCGUUAAUCGGAUUUACUGGGCGUAAAGCGCGCGUAGGCGGCUAAUUAAGUCAAAUGUGAAAUCCCCGAGCUUAACUUGGGAAUUGCAUUCGAUACUGGUUAGCUAGAGUGUGGGAGAGGAUGGUAGAAUUCCAGGUGUAGCGGUGAAAUGCGUAGAGAUCUGGAGGAAUACCGAUGGCGAAGGCAGCCAUCUGGCCUAACACUGACGCUGAGGUGCGAAAGCAUGGGGAGCAAACAGGAUUAGAUACCCUGGUAGUCCAUGCCGUAAACGAUGUCUACUAGCCGUUGGGGCCUUUGAGGCUUUAGUGGCGCAGCUAACGCGAUAAGUAGACCGCCUGGGGAGUACGGUCGCAAGACUAAAACUCAAAUGAAUUGACGGGGGCCCGCACAAGCGGUGGAGCAUGUGGUUUAAUUCGAUGCAACGCGAAGAACCUUACCUGGCCUUGACAUAGUAAGAACUUUCCAGAGAUGGAUUGGUGCCUUCGGGAACUUACAUACAGGUGCUGCAUGGCUGUCGUCAGCUCGUGUCGUGAGAUGUUGGGUUAAGUCCCGCAACGAGCGCAACCCUUUUCCCUUAUUUGCCAGCGAGUAAUGUCGGGAACUUUAAGGAUACUGCCAGUGACAAACUGGAGGAAGGCGGGGACGACGUCAAGUCAUCAUGGCCCUUACGGCCAGGGCUACACACGUGCUACAAUGGUCGGUACAAAGGGUUGCUACCUAGCGAUAGGAUGCUAAUCUCAAAAAGCCGAUCGUAGUCCGGAUUGGAGUCUGCAACUCGACUCCAUGAAGUCGGAAUCGCUAGUAAUCGCGGAUCAGAAUGCCGCGGUGAAUACGUUCCCGGGCCUUGUACACACCGCCCGUCACACCAUGGGAGUUUGUUGCACCAGAAGUAGCUAGCCUAACUGCAAAGAGGGCGGUUACCACGGUGUGGCCGAUGACUGGGGUGAAGUCGUAACAAGGUAGCCGUAGGGGAACCUGCGGCUGGAUCACCUCCUUAA